GCGGCUAUAGCUCAGUGGCAGAGCGCAAGGUUGUGGCCCUUGGUGUCACCAGUUCAAUCCUGGUUAGUCGCCCCA
Molecule: transfer RNA, 75 nt
Filed under: Gammaproteobacteria bacterium HGW-Gammaproteobacteria-1
Lineage: Bacteria; Pseudomonadati; Pseudomonadota; Gammaproteobacteria
Description: tRNA-His
Rfam family: tRNA
About the family: Transfer RNA (tRNA) molecules are approximately 80 nucleotides in length. Their secondary structure includes four short double-helical elements and three loops (D, anti-codon, and T loops).
Source: RNAcentral